UGCAUUCACUACUGUAAGUCGCUCUAGAUAAGAGCGUCUGCUAAAUGACUGAAA
Non-coding RNA from Salmo salar (Atlantic salmon), 54 nucleotides. The record is from Rfam. NCBI's taxonomy places the organism in Eukaryota, Metazoa, Chordata, Actinopteri, Salmoniformes, Salmonidae.